This is a long non-coding RNA of Lucilia cuprina (Australian sheep blowfly), 151 nucleotides long. RefSeq lists it as uncharacterized. The transcript is spliced from 3 exons. The record is from RefSeq and is a predicted model, not a curated record. Lineage: Eukaryota; Metazoa; Arthropoda; Insecta; Diptera; Calliphoridae.
UGAAGUCAUAUGAUAUCAUGAAUGCAAAAACAUAUUUCAUGUUGUUGGCCAACGAAUUAAAUCUGUGAGAUAAAACGUUAUACACAUUCGUGGCAUGGAGCCGAAUAAGGUCAUAUAAAUCAUUUGAGCAUAUAUUCUUGGGGUACAGUUC